Non-coding RNA from Myodes glareolus (Bank vole), 1282 nucleotides. The record is from RefSeq and is a predicted model, not a curated record. NCBI's taxonomy places the organism in Eukaryota, Metazoa, Chordata, Mammalia, Rodentia, Cricetidae.
GUUAAAAUAACAAAACAAAAACAAGGAUGCAAGUUGGAAAAUGGUAGAGGAGGAUGGAGUUAAGAAGAGCGGAGGGCAGACAUAAUCAAAAUACAAGGCAUUCCACACGUGUACCUGGUGCCCACAGGAGUCAGAAGAGGGAUUCAGAUCACCUAGAACUGCAGUUAUGAAUGGUUGGGAACCACCAGGUAGAGAAUUUUUUCAUCUGUCUAAAAGCCUUUCAUCCUUGUGAGGAAGCUGGAGUGUGAAAAGGCACCUAUUUAGGCUCUCCCACCUUUGCCAUCUGCUGGCGUCUGCAGCUGCUAUAAAUGGUCAUCAUCUCGGCCCAAAGAAAGAAGCAACUGAUUCCAAAGGUCACCACGCCACCCUCGGCAGCCAUGUUUACUGGAUCACCAGAUGAAGUUACGCUAUUCUUAGCUCUCACCCACAAUUCUCUUUAAAAACUCCAAAGGGGCAAAGAAUUUUUCCUCUCUUAAGAUGAAACUUUGAGAGCUAAAUAUGCUUGCUAUGUUUUUAUUCGAUUAUAGAAACGUAUGUCUCAAUGCCCGACACUGAGACUUCACGGGGCAUGGAUAUUAAUGAUGGCUAGUGGCCAUUUCAGGGCACAGGCUUUUGAUUUCUAUGCACGACCCUGGUUUAUUCACCUUUAGCACUGCAGGUUCAUUGAUGACACCGAAUAUACAGAUAUUAAAAAUACUCUGAUCCACUAGAGUCCUUCUAUUUCCACACAUUUCAUUUUGGUCUCAAAUGCAGAAUGGAUUUUUAAACAUAUUCUAUUCAUGUUUGAGAGGAAAAACAGGUCAUCAUACAGCCAAACAACUAAGUAGAGAUUUAUUGACUGAAUUACUUCAUUGUGUCCAUGUUUUAUUAUUUCUUUAAGUUGUCUAUUCUUUCCAAGCUAGUGCACUAAUGCUGCUUAAAUGUGCUUAGCUGCUCAAAUGGGAUUUGGCGUGUUGAGACCUUAGGUGAUGUAAAUUCAAAGGUAAAUGCUUCUAAUUUGGAACUACCUAGGCUUAUAGAGAAUCCGGCCUUUCAGAUAAUGAGACCAUAAAACAGACCACUCACAGGGCAGCACAGCUGCUCUCUAAACCAUGAGCAUCUGAGUGCUUUCCCACCACACAGCAGUAUCUCAGGCCAAUACAACAGUGCUACAUUCCAAUCUGUCACCUGGAAAGACACGGCACGUCCAUCCCCCACAAUCAUGCUACUAAGGGCAACAACUCAAACUUGCUGAUUAUCCCAGUGAAAAUGUACCCCAAGAAUAAAAAUCUCUUAAAAUCUG